UUGUGCGUGAGAGAAUUGAGAAGAAAGGAUUCUUCUCUUGAUCUCUAUUAUAGAGAUCUGAUGCAUGGAUCUAGAAAAAAAAAGAGAAGGUCUUCUUAUUCUUCAUCUUCUUCAUGUUCCUCUUAGACUAGCCAAAGUAUGGUGUCUUCACGAGCUAGUACUCCUAGAGAGAUCGAUUAGCACAAGAGCUUUGUGUGGAUAUCCAUAG
RNAcentral lists this long non-coding RNA (208 nucleotides) under Elaeis guineensis (African oil palm). Its description in RNAcentral is "long non-coding RNA (EGUI_LNC038229)". The record is from RNAcentral. Lineage: Eukaryota; Viridiplantae; Streptophyta; Magnoliopsida; Arecales; Arecaceae.